GGAUCAAUAUGUCGGUCGUGCCUUCGGUACGUACUGGUAUCAUUGGUCUCUCCUUUCUGACGAACCAUGAUGUCAUUUAUUUGGUGUUGUGGGGAAUCAGGACUGUUACUUUGAAAAAAUUAGAGUGUUUAAAGCAGGCUCACGCUUGAAUACAUUAGCAUGGAAUAAUGAAAUAGGACGUUUGAUUCUAUUUUGUUGGUUUCUAGGAUCGACGUA
RNAcentral lists this ribosomal RNA (216 nucleotides) under Campeiostachys nutans. Its description in RNAcentral is "Elymus nutans partial small subunit ribosomal RNA". The stretch from base 38 to 216 matches the Rfam family "Eukaryotic small subunit ribosomal RNA", at positions 684 to 864 of the family's 1831-position model. Lineage: Eukaryota; Viridiplantae; Streptophyta; Magnoliopsida; Poales; Poaceae. The record is from RNAcentral.